This is a long non-coding RNA of Psammomys obesus (fat sand rat), 2404 nucleotides long. RefSeq lists it as uncharacterized. NCBI's taxonomy places the organism in Eukaryota, Metazoa, Chordata, Mammalia, Rodentia, Muridae. The transcript is spliced from 5 exons. The record is from RefSeq and is a predicted model, not a curated record.
AGCCGGGGGCCCGCGCGUGGGCCGCCAGAGCUUGAGGCCCGCCUGGCGGGUGCUGCGGUCCGCGUGCGGGAAGGCGCGUGGGCGUGUCUCCCGGGCCCACGCGUGUCCCCUGCAUCACUGUCUCGGCUCUCGUCCAGGACGACGACUUCUGAAAGCGAGCCAAGGAGAAUCGCGGUUUGUAACAGAGCCUCUGACUGCCUGUUGGAAGGAGGUGAUUCGGAAGACAGCGAGAGUCUUCAGUGACUUGUCUCCUCAAGGCUUCAGAACAUUCAGGAAUGUUCCCUUCUCUGAGCUGGGAGAGCAGAGAAGCCGAAGCAUCAAGAGAUUGGCCCCAGGUCAAACCACUGCUCGCUCCUUCAGCUAGGGCUUCAUACAUACUAGAGUGAUUAAUUUCACUUUCAGUGCCUUCCUUCCCGAGCUGGAGUGCUUCUGUAGAGACUCCUAAUUCGGUGAAACCUGUUUAGGGGAUCAUCCCUGCUAGACAGACAGCUGCGAGAGGGCAUUCGCUUCCCAGCAUGGAUUUCAGAUUAUGGCCAAUCAAGAGCCGGAGCUAAGGAACACCUGUCAACGGCGCUUGCUACAAGGAGACCAGCUCUUUAAUCGAAUUUCAUUGUACUUCAGAAAAAGGUUUAUUUUAAAUGUGGCGUCUGCUUUUAUGAUUCAUCCUUCUCAGCUGAGACAUCAAUUUGGGGCUUAUUUAUGAUGUUGUUCUAGGGUGAAACAAGACACUGCAAGAAAGUAUUUCAAAAAGGCAGCCUUUCCCAGACAUGCAGUUUGCAGCUUUCCUCGUGUGGAAAAUAAAAAAGAAAUUUAAAACGUUAGUUUUGAGCUUUUGUGUGUGAAUGUAAUUAGCGAUAGGGAUUCUUUUGAGCACACUUUCAGAAUAUUGAAGCCGGAUGGUAAAUGCUCCUGGUGACGUCUGGGGAACUUUCCCUGUGGAAAUCUGUUCCGCUGAUCUGUGAGCAGGGCAAACCAUCAUUGAUACUGACAGGUUCCGAAAGGCCGUGCUAGGCUUUCAGCUUGGCCCUAAUUGGAGGCCCCGCUAAGCCCAUAAUACCAGGUACUUUCUCACAGCUGCAGACCGUGAGUGUAACUAUCAGAAGACAAACUUCACUGCGCAAACUGUAAUUUAAUGGUAUAACUGUGUACAGCCCAGACUAUCAGUUAAUUUUCAAAACAUUUUAUUCUACAGCAAUUAGCUCAGGUCCUGGAGGGCAAAAUGACAAGAGGUUACUCGUUCACUAUGUAUUUAAUUAAUUGAAAAAUGCUCCAAUUGCCUUUACAGUUGUUAUUAGAGAGUGGAAUCAGUGUUGCCAGCGCUCAACCAUAAUUGGAACCCCAGGGAAUUAAAUAUUUAGCAUUAGUAAUGUAACAGCACUUAGGACACAAAUUUCUAUUUUCGUAAUGAAAGCUAUACACUGUGAGUGCACGCGGCUGAAAGGACAGCUGUGACAAGCGAAGCGGCCUGGGACAUUUCAAUAAGACACCUCAUUGGACAGCAAGUCUCACCACAUUACAUGUUCGUAAGAGACCUGCAAGUUUAAUUCCCACGAGGAACUCAGAGCCCAAGUCUUUAGCGUCCUAAUUGCAUGCAGGAUGAACGGUUGGGCAAAUGUCUUGCUGUAAGUGGCUGAAAUUCAUCCUGCUUUCUAAAUAAUCGCAUAUAAGUUCGUGCCUUUGUCAAUUUAAAAAUACUGGGACUGUCAGGGAAUAAGGAUCUUGUUUGUUUUCCAUUUAAUUAUAUUUUAAGCACACAUGCUUUCUGUGCUACAAUGAGAAAAGUUGGAUAUUGGGCUCUAAUGAGCUGCAGUGCUAGACGCUGGAGACCCUGAGGGAUUCACUCCGUAAAUUAGCUGGAUAAAAAGUACUUGGUUAGGAUAUAGUUGAUGGCUGAGCUGUUCGUAGAACCAGUUACAGCACUGUCUCUCACUCCUGUUUCAUUCUAAACAGGCCCUGUAGAGACUUUAACAGCUGCCUGUUAAAGCUGCUCAACUUGUCAAAAUGUAUUAUAUUACUCCACUAAUAAAUAGUAUUAAAGGGUAUUUGACUUCACCUCUCCUUUUCCGAGGGGAUCAGGUUGAUAAACACAACUGGCUUAGGCUGGCCUUAUUUUAAUUUGUUUAUGUCAGCUAAGUAAUAUUGAAGGGCCAUGUUUUAAAUUUGCAAAAAUUACCUUCCUGGGAAGGCAGGCCUUCCAAAAUAUGAUAUACAGUGGGAACAAGGAAUUGAGACACUUAUUGUAGAAUAUUUGUCAGACAUAGAAAGAGGUCUGACUUUGACUUUCACGUUCGAAGAACUUGAGAGCCUGUGGGUGAACUGACAUUCUCGGAAGGGUUGGUUCCUUUGCAUUUAUCAUGUCCAGAAAAAUAAAAAUUAAAUAAAUAAUGUCACAACUUCCUUUUGA